RNAcentral lists this ribosomal RNA (270 nucleotides) under uncultured bacterium. Its description in RNAcentral is "partial 16S ribosomal RNA". It matches the Rfam family "Bacterial small subunit ribosomal RNA", at positions 29 to 324 of the family's 1533-position model. The record is from RNAcentral.
AACGAACGCUGGCGGCAGGCUUAACACAUGCAAGUCGAACGGUUGUAGCAAUACAGCAGUGGCGCACGGGUGAGUAACGCGUGGGAACAUCCCUUUCAGUUCGGAAUAACAGCGGGAAACUGCUGCUAAUACCGGAUAUUCUCUUCGGAGGAAAGAUUUAUCGCUGAAAGAUUGGCCCGCGUCAGAUUAGCUAGUUGGUGAGGUAACGGCUCACCAAGGCUCCGAUCUGUAGCUGGUCUGAGAGGACGACCAGCCACACUGGAACUGAGA